GACGAAGGAUUCAAGCGUUGUCCGGAUUUACUGGGUUUAAAGGGUGCGUAGGCGGCAAUAUAAGUCAGUGGUGAAAUCCCGCAGCUCAGCUGCGGAACUGCCAUUGAAACUGCAUUUCUUGAAUACGGUUGAGGUAGAUGGAAUGUAACAUGUAGCGGUGAAAUGCUUAGAUAUGUUACAGAACUCCGAUUGCGAAGGCAGUCUACUAAGCCGUUAUUGACGCUGAGGCACGAAAGCGUGGGGAGCAAACAGG
RNAcentral lists this ribosomal RNA (253 nucleotides) under uncultured bacterium. RNAcentral's name for it is "partial 16S ribosomal RNA". It matches the Rfam family "Bacterial small subunit ribosomal RNA", at positions 524 to 776 of the family's 1533-position model. The record is from RNAcentral.